UCAGCAAUCCCGUCACAAAUAUCAAGUGU
This 29-nucleotide non-coding RNA is filed under the name Mus musculus (house mouse). Lineage: Eukaryota; Metazoa; Chordata; Mammalia; Rodentia; Muridae. The record is from RNAcentral.